This 255-nucleotide ribosomal RNA is filed under the name uncultured bacterium. Its description in RNAcentral is "partial 16S ribosomal RNA". It matches the Rfam family "Bacterial small subunit ribosomal RNA", at positions 524 to 776 of the family's 1533-position model. The record is from RNAcentral.
UACGGGGGGGGCGAGCGUUGUUCGGAAUUAUUGGGCGUAAAGGGCGCGUAGGCGGUGUGGUAAGUCUGAUGUGAAAACUCCAGGCUCAACUUGGAGAUUGCAUCAGAAACUGCCGUGCUAGAGUGUGGGGAGAGGAGAGUGGAAUUCCUGGUGUAGCGGUGAAAUGCGUAGAUAUCUGCAGGAACACCCCGUGGCGAAAGCGGCGCGCUGGACCACUACUGACGCUGAGGAACGAAAGCUAGGGGAGCAAACAGG